RNAcentral lists this ribosomal RNA (465 nucleotides) under uncultured delta proteobacterium. RNAcentral describes it as "partial 16S ribosomal RNA". It matches the Rfam family "Bacterial small subunit ribosomal RNA", at positions 338 to 794 of the family's 1533-position model. Lineage: Bacteria; Deltaproteobacteria. The record is from RNAcentral.
CCUACGGGAGGCAGCAGUGAGGGAUAUUGCGCAAUGGGGGAAACCCUGACGCAGCGACGCCGCGUGGGUGAUGAAGGCCUUCGGGUCGUAAAGCCCUGUCAGGUGGGAAGAAACCUACUGGCUCGAAUAGGGCUGGUAGCUGACGGUACCACCAGAGGAAGCACCGGCUAACUCCGUGCCAGCAGCCGCGGUAAUACGGAGGGUGCGAGCGUUGCUCGGAAUCACUGGGCGUAAAGCGCGUGUAGGCGGUCAGGCAAGUCAGAUGUAAAAGCCCCUGGCUUAACCAGGUAAGUGCAUUUGAAACUGCUGGGCUGGAGUACGGGAGAGGAGAGUGGAAUUCCCGGUGUAGAGGUAAAAUUCGUAGAUAUCGGGAGGAACCCCGGUGGCGAAGGCGGCUCUCUGGCCCGAUACUGACGCUGAGAUGCGAAAGCGUGGGGAGCAAACAGGAUUAGAUACCCCUGUAUU